CUGAAUGGACUUAUCCUGAUCAGUGAUCACAGUAUAAAUCCAGGCAUAUGCACUUCAAAAAUAAGCAACCUAUACUUCCACAUUAUAUCUUACAAGCAGAAAACUAACAAUGGAUACUGCAAAGUUAAUCACAACCAAAAAGAUGUUUCUCUUUUUUGUGGGUUGCACGCUUCUCAUUGCUCUUCAUGAAUGUACUGAAAACAUUCCAAGGAGCAGCAGUCCUAAGGAAGAAGAGAAGAUGAUGAAGCCUACAGCAUCUGCUAAUUUGGAUUGCAAUGAAAUGAAGUGCGCGGAUCAACUACCUUGUUGGUGUUGCUACGAGCGAUCAAAGGGAACAUUCUGUUUACCAACAGAAGAUAGUUGCAAAACCGUUUGCAAUAAUCUCCCACCAGCCACCCAUAAUUAAAAGCAUAAGCUCAACAUGAUAAGCCUUUCCAGUUUCAAUUAUCAUGCAAAAAUAAAUGCAAAAUUGCAUCUUAGGAUUUCUUGUGUUUUCUUCAUGCGAGUGAAGUUGCUACAUCUCUGUGUGAUUAAUGUAAUACUAAUAAUAAAACUUCGCUAAUAAACGAUAUUUCGGAUACG
Molecule: long non-coding RNA, 582 nt
Organism: Papaver somniferum (opium poppy)
Lineage: Eukaryota; Viridiplantae; Streptophyta; Magnoliopsida; Ranunculales; Papaveraceae
Exons: 2
Source: RefSeq, a predicted model, not a curated record